AUUGAACGCUGGCGGCAGGCCUAACACAUGCAAGUCGAGCGGCAGCGACUUAACUGAACCUUCGGGGAACGUUAAGGGCGGCGAGCGGCGGACGGGUGAGUAAUGCCUGGGAAUAUGCCUCAGUGUGGGGGAUAACUAUUGGAAACGAUAGCUAAUACCGCAUAAUCUCCGAUCUUUUACGAGAUGGGAGCAAAGCGGGGGACCUUCGGGCCUCGCGCGCUGAGAUUAGCCCAGGUGGGAUUAGCUUGUUGGUGAGGUAAUGGCUCACCAAGGCAACGAUCCCUAGCUGGUCUGAGAGGAUGAUCAGCCACACUGGAACUGAGACACGGUCCAGACUCCUACGGGAGGCAGCAGUGGGGAAUAUUGCACAAUGGGGGAAACCCUGAUGCAGCCAUGCCGCGUGUGUGAAGAAGGCCUUCGGGUUGUAAAGCACUUUCAGUAGGGAGGAAGGUAGUGUAGUUAACACCUGCAUUAUUUGACGUUACCUACAGAAGAAGCACCGGCUAACUCCGUGCCAGCAGCCGCGGUAAUACGGAGGGUGCGAGCGUUAAUCGGAAUUACUGGGCGUAAAGCGCAUGCAGGCGGCCUGUUAAGUCAGAUGUGAAAGCCCGGGGCUUAACCUCGGAAUUGCAUUUGAAACUGGCAGGCUAGAGUCUUGUAGAGGGGGGUAGAAUUUCAGGUGUAGCGGUGAAAUGCGUAGAGAUCUGAAGGAAUACCAGUGGCGAAGGCGGCCCCCUGGACAAAGACUGACGCUCAGAUGCGAAAGCGUGGGGAGCAAACAGG
RNAcentral lists this ribosomal RNA (783 nucleotides) under uncultured bacterium. RNAcentral's name for it is "bacterial SSU rRNA". It matches the Rfam family "Bacterial small subunit ribosomal RNA", at positions 28 to 776 of the family's 1533-position model. The record is from RNAcentral.